This 906-nucleotide ribosomal RNA is filed under the name Ceriagrion cerinorubellum. Its description in RNAcentral is "SSU rRNA". It matches the Rfam family "Eukaryotic small subunit ribosomal RNA", at positions 48 to 915 of the family's 1831-position model. The record is from RNAcentral. Lineage: Eukaryota; Metazoa; Arthropoda; Insecta; Odonata; Coenagrionidae.
GCCAUGCAUGUCUCAGUACUAACCGCUUUAAGGCGAAACCGCGAAUGGCUCAUUAAAUCAGUUAUGGUUCCUUGGAUCUUACCCACACUUACAUGGAUAACUGUGGUAAUUCUAGAGCUAAUACAUGAACCUCGUGCCCCGACCAGUGAUGGAAGGGGUGCUUUUAUUAGAACAAAACCAAUCGGUCGGUCUUCCGUCCGUUGCCUUGGUGACUCUGAAUAACUUUUGGCUGAUCGCACGGUCCUAGCACCGGCGACGCAUCUUUCAAAUGUCUGCCUUAUCAACUUUCGAUGGUAGGUUCUGCGCCUACCAUGGUUGUAACGGGUGACGGGGAAUCAGGGUUCGAUCCCGGAGAGGGAGCCUGAGAAACGGCUACCACAUCCAAGGAAGGCAGCAGGCGCGCAAAUUACCCACUCCCGGAACGGGGAGGUAGUGACGAAAAAUAACGAUACGGGACUCAUCCGAGGCCCCGUAAUCGGAAUGAGAACACUUUAAAUCCUUUAACGAGGAUCUAUUGGAGGGCAAGUCUGGUGCCAGCAGCCGCGGUAAUUCCAGCUCCAAUAGCGUAUAUUAAAGUUGUUGCGGUUAAAAAGCUCGUAGUCGGAGGUGUGUCUCGGACGGUCGGUUCGCCGCUUGUCGGUGCUCAACUGGCCGGUCCGGACGUCCUGCCGGUGGGGCCGCGAGGCUCCGUCAUCCUUCUUUGGUCCUCUUCACCGAGUGCCUUGGUGGGCCGGCACGUUUACUUUGAACAAAUUAGAGUGCUCAAAGCAGGCCGUUGGUCGCCUGAAUACUGUGUGCAUGGAAUAAUGGAAUAGGACCUCGGUUCCAUUUUGUUGGUUUUCAGAACUCGAGGUAAUGAUUAAUAGGGACGGACGGGGGCAUUCGUAUUGCGACGUUAGAGGUGAA